GACGAACGCUGGCGGCGUGCUUAACACAUGCAAGUCGAACGGCAAGGCCCUGCUUUUGUGGGGUGCUCGAGUGGCGAACGGGUGAGUAACACGUGAGUAACCUGCCCUUGACUUUGGGAUAACUUCAGGAAACUGGGGCUAAUACCGGAUAGGAGCUCCUGCUGCAUGGUGGGGGUUGGAAAGUUUCGGCGGUUGGGGAUGGACUCGCGGCUUAUCAGCUUGUUGGUGGGGUAGUGGCUUACCAAGGCUUUGACGGGUAGCCGGCCUGAGAGGGUGACCGGCCACAUUGGGACUGAGAGAGGGCCCAGACGGCUACGGGAGACAGCAGUGGGGAAUAUUGCACAAUGGGCGGGAGCCUGAUGCAGCAACGCCGCGUGCGGGAUGACGGCCUUCGGGUUGUAAACCGCUUUCGCCUGUGACGAAGCGUGAGUGACGGUAAUGGGUAAAGAAGCACCGGCUAACUACGUG
Molecule: ribosomal RNA, 468 nt
Filed under: uncultured bacterium
Lineage: Bacteria
Description: partial 16S ribosomal RNA
Rfam family: Bacterial small subunit ribosomal RNA
Source: RNAcentral